Molecule: long non-coding RNA, 303 nt
Filed under: Sorghum bicolor (sorghum)
Lineage: Eukaryota; Viridiplantae; Streptophyta; Magnoliopsida; Poales; Poaceae
Description: long non-coding RNA (SBIC_LNC005992)
Source: RNAcentral
CAUGGGGAUAGACGUCAAAGGUCGCGCGCAAGGGGAUGGUAGUCAGGGUGGGCAUGCCCAUGAGGAGGAAGUCCGAGUAGGGUGUGACUUCCUCCUAGGACGUUCAAAAUAAGUGAGGGGAAACAAGCAUGGGAAGUGGUAGAUUUGGUUCCAGCUAACGUGGACACGAGAGGCGGUGGUAAAUGUCCUGAUUUGUGGUCGACGGUGGUGGAGAUGGCGCAUGGGCAAGACUGGAGUAGGGAUUCUAUGUUGAGGCAGGUCAAAAAACAAAACAAACAAAAAGUAGAGGCAUGAGGUGACGAG